GACGAACGCUGGCGGCGUGCUUAACACAUGCAAGUCGAACGGAAAGGCCCUGCGUUUGUUUGGUGCUCGAUUGGCGAACGGGUGAGUAACACGUGAGGAACCUGCCCUUGACUUUGUGAUAACUUCAGGAAACUGGGGCUAAUACCGGAUAGGAUCUCCUGCUGCAUGGUGGGGGUUGGAAAGUUUCGGCGGUUGGGGAUGGACUCGCUGGUUAUCAGCUUGUUGGGGGGGUAGGGGCUUACCAAGGCUUUGACGGGUAGCCUGCAUGAGAGGGUGACCGGCCACAUUGGGACUGAGAUACGGACCAGUAUCCUACGGGCGGCAGCAGUGGGGAAUAUUGCACAAUGGGCGGACGCGUGAUGCAGAAGCGCCGCGUGCGGGAUGACGGCUUUCGGGUUGUAAACAGCUUUCGAAUGUGCCGAAGAGUGAGUGACGGUAAUGGGUAAAGAAGCACCGGCUAACUACGUG
RNAcentral lists this ribosomal RNA (468 nucleotides) under uncultured bacterium. Its description in RNAcentral is "partial 16S ribosomal RNA". It matches the Rfam family "Bacterial small subunit ribosomal RNA", at positions 28 to 507 of the family's 1533-position model. The record is from RNAcentral.